This 492-nucleotide ribosomal RNA is filed under the name uncultured bacterium. RNAcentral describes it as "partial 16S ribosomal RNA". It matches the Rfam family "Bacterial small subunit ribosomal RNA", at positions 29 to 507 of the family's 1533-position model. The record is from RNAcentral.
AGUGAACGCUGGCGGUAGGCCUAACACAUGCAAGUCGAACGGCAGCACAGUAAGAGCUUGCUCUUACGGGUGGCGAGUGGCGGACGGGUGCGGAAUACAUCGGAAUCUACUUUUUCGUGCGGGAUAACGUAGGGAAACUUACGCUAAUACCGCAUACGACCUACGGGUGAAAGCAGGGGAUCUCCGGACCUUUCGCGAUUGAAUGAGCCGAUGUCGGAUUAGCUAGUUGGCGGGGUAAAGGCCCACCAAGGCGACGAUCCGUAGCUGGUCUGAGAGUAAUAUCAGCCACACUGGAACGGAGACACGGUCCAGACUACUACGGGAGGCAGCAGUGGGGAAUAUUGGACAAUGGGCGCAAGCCUGAUCCAGCCAUACCGCGUGGGUGAAGAAGGCCUUCGGGUUGGAAAGCCCUUUUGUUGGGAAAGAAAAGCAGCAGGUUAAUACCCCGCUGUUCUGACGGUACCCAAAGAAUAAGCAGCGGCUAACUUCGUG